CCCCCAGACUCCUACGGGAGGCAGCAGUGAGGAAUAUUGGUCAAUGGGCUUACGCCUGAACCAGCCAAGUCGCGUGAGGGAAGACUGCCCUAUGGGUUGUAAACCUCUUUUGUCAGGGAGCAAUUGGCGCUACGUGUAGCGUUAUCGAGAAUACCUGAAGAAAAAGCAUCGGCUAACUCCGUGCCAGCAGCCGCGGUAAUACGGAGGAUGCGAGCGUUAUCCGGAUUUAUUGGGUUUAAAGGGUGCGCAGGCGGAUUUUUAAGUCAGGGGUAAAAUCGUGGGGCUCAACCUCAGCCAGCCGUUGAAACUGGGGAUCUAGAGUGUGCGAGAGGUAUGCGGAAUGCGUGGUGUAGCGGUGAAAUGCAUAGAUAUCACGCAGAACCCCGAUUGCGAAGGCAGCAUACCGGGGCACAACUGACGCUCAGGCACGAAAGCGUGGGUAUCGAACAGGAUUAGAUACCCGGGUAA
RNAcentral lists this ribosomal RNA (468 nucleotides) under uncultured bacterium. RNAcentral's name for it is "bacterial SSU rRNA". It matches the Rfam family "Bacterial small subunit ribosomal RNA", at positions 328 to 793 of the family's 1533-position model. The record is from RNAcentral.